This 72-nucleotide transfer RNA is filed under the name Chelonia mydas (Green sea turtle). It matches the Rfam family "tRNA". Rfam says of the family: Transfer RNA (tRNA) molecules are approximately 80 nucleotides in length. Their secondary structure includes four short double-helical elements and three loops (D, anti-codon, and T loops). Further hydrogen bonds mediate the characteristic L-shaped molecular structure. tRNAs have two regions of fundamental functional importance: the anti-codon, which is responsible for specific mRNA codon recognition, and the 3' end, to which the tRNAs corresponding amino acid is attached (by aminoacyl-tRNA synthetases). tRNAs cope with the degeneracy of the genetic code in two manners: having more than one tRNA (with a specific anti-codon) for a particular amino acid; and 'wobble' base-pairing, i.e. permitting non-standard base-pairing at the 3rd anti-codon position. The record is from Rfam by way of RNAcentral. Lineage: Eukaryota; Metazoa; Chordata; Testudines; Cheloniidae.
GCAUGGGUGGUAUAGUUGUGUGCAUAACUGACUUCCAAGCAGUUGACCUGGGUUCAUUUCCUGGCCAAUGCA